RNAcentral lists this transfer RNA (76 nucleotides) under Treponema sp. RNAcentral describes it as "tRNA-Arg". It matches the Rfam family "tRNA". From Rfam's summary of the family: Transfer RNA (tRNA) molecules are approximately 80 nucleotides in length. Their secondary structure includes four short double-helical elements and three loops (D, anti-codon, and T loops). Lineage: Bacteria; Pseudomonadati; Spirochaetota; Spirochaetia; Treponematales; Treponemataceae. The record is from RNAcentral.
UGCGCCCGUAGUUCAAUUGGAUAGAAUCCCGGCCUUCGAAGCCGGUUGUUGCAGGUUCGAGCCCUGUCGGACGCAA